UAACCGAAAAGGCACACUUAUCGAAAGAUAGGGUCGCAAAGCUAUAGGGGUUAAGGCGUUGUCCGCAUGGAAACGUUAUGCUAGCCAGUUACCGAA
This 96-nucleotide non-coding RNA is filed under the name Paenibacillus sp. CECT 9249. Its description in RNAcentral is "c-di-GMP-I". It matches the Rfam family "c-di-GMP-I riboswitch aptamer". From Rfam's summary of the family: GEMM was predicted in a large-scale screen for bacterial structured RNA regulatory elements. Genes associated with GEMM are involved in a diverse array of functions, including chemotaxis regulation, signal transduction, secretion and chitin. The record is from RNAcentral. Lineage: Bacteria; Bacillati; Bacillota; Bacilli; Caryophanales; Paenibacillaceae.